CAGAGUUUGAUCCUGGCUCAGAGCUAACGCUGGCGGCAGGCUUAACACAUGCAAGUCGAGCGGGCCCUUCGGGGUCAGCGGCGGACGGGUGAGUAACGCGUGGGAACGUGCCUUCUGGUCUGGAAUAACCCUGGGAAACUAGGGCUAAUACCGGAUACGCCCUUUUGGGGAAAGGUUUACUGCCGGAAGAUCGGCCCGCGUCUGAUUAGCUAGUUGGUGGGGUAACGGCCUACCAAGGCGACGAUCAGUAGCUGGUCUGAGAGGAUGAUCAGCCACACUGGGACUGAGACACGGCCCAGACUCCUACGGGAGGCAGCAGUGGGGAAUAUUGGACAAUGGGCGCAAGCCUGAUCCAGCCAUGCCGCGUGAGUGAUGAAGGCCUUAGGGUUGUAAAGCUCUUUUAUCCGGGACGAUAAUGACGGUACCGGAGGAAUAAGCCCCGGCUAACUUCGUGCCAGCAGCCGCGGUAAUA
Molecule: ribosomal RNA, 472 nt
Filed under: uncultured bacterium
Lineage: Bacteria
Description: bacterial SSU rRNA
Rfam family: Bacterial small subunit ribosomal RNA
Source: RNAcentral